This is a long non-coding RNA of Populus euphratica (Euphrates poplar), 1017 nucleotides long. RefSeq lists it as uncharacterized. The record is from RefSeq and is a predicted model, not a curated record. The transcript has 6 exons. Lineage: Eukaryota; Viridiplantae; Streptophyta; Magnoliopsida; Malpighiales; Salicaceae.
UUAUCAAUGACAGAGAGAGAGACAGAGAGAGAGUCGGAGUCCAAUGGGCGAAGAAGGAGAAAAACAAACUGUACCUCCUCUUCCUCCUUCCGCGGCCGCUGAAGAAACUAGGGCUCCGGAAUUACAAUCAGAUCCUCCAACUCCAUUCGAUCCCAGUCGAAUGAUUGGUAUUAUUAAGAGAAAGGGGUUGAUCAAAGAGCUGGCAGCGGAGUACCACGCUCAGUGCCUUUAUUAUUGUCAGCAACUUUUGGAUCUACAGAAAAAUUGCCAAGAGCCAUUUGUUGAAUUAAGAGCUGCUACUGCUGCUGAUGAUUCAAGAAAAGAAACAAUGAGGCCCCCCAAACGCCUCAAGAAGGCCCGCUGAUAAAAUCAUACUGUUUUGUUUUAAUAUAUCAACAUUCUCUUGGAUGUUUUGUCUUUUGAUGGAUUACUCUAGGUUGGAAAGGUCACUGUCACUUUGAUUUCACCAAAAUGAUUCAGUAUAGUUCCUGCUUGCAAUGCCUUGUGUCCUCUGCCUGCUUGUUCACCAUCUUGUAGAAUUUGAAAAAAAAAAAAAAACUCUUGUGGCUUUCCCGGCACCACUUUGGGUUCAGUCAAUCUCAAGUGAGGCACAUGUAUCUUUAUAACCUGUACUGUUUAGAGGGAAAGUUGUAUAGAUCUUUAACAAUUGUCUAUCGUGCCAUGAUCAAUAUGUUGGUACUGUCAUCCAUUACUCAGGAAAAGAAUGGUGCUAUGCUAGUCUAGCAUCUUUGAUAAUUUUGGUGCAGUAACCUUUUCUGGUUUUGUGGGUUUUAUGAAUGAUUUGUUACUUAAUGGUAGAGCAGUGUUAUUGUAGACUGAUUUGUGGUUCCAAUCCGUGCUUGGACUGGUGUCCUUUGAUGCGAAUUUGCAAACUCGGACUUGGUGUAUGGCUUGUGUGAGUCACAGUUUUCUUGCCAUGCUGUUUCUGGCUAUUCGUCAGUGGCAAUGCAAGGAAACUGAAGGGCCAAUUCUAUACAUAUGAGAAUCGUUCGGGCA